This 1202-nucleotide unclassified non-coding RNA is filed under the name uncultured fungus. RNAcentral describes it as "sequence contains 18S rRNA gene, ITS1, 5.8S rRNA gene, ITS2, 28S rRNA gene". Lineage: Eukaryota; Fungi. The record is from RNAcentral.
UCGAUCCAGUCAGGAUCGGGUUCGGAGACGGCUCGCGAAACGAGGACCGGAUCGGGCGUCGCUCGGGUUCGGACAACAAUGCGAUGACGAGCGGCCGUGGGAUCGAGCGAGCCGACGAUCAGAAAGUAUUUGUCGUCCGGGCGAGUCGUGGACACGACGCAAUCGCAGUGACCAUCCUGAACCGUCAACGGAAUCAGCUCGACAUCCUCGGCCAACGCAAGCGGGGCAAGGCAGAGAAGCACGCCGACCCAGAGGCCAGUCGGGACCAGGUUACCCCGUCGUGCGUCCAUGCCGCGACUUCUCCGGAAGCCUGUGAGACCCGACGUUCCGCAGCACCCGGCGUUGACCGCAACGGGGCCUGCUUCUCAAAUCGGCGUGACUUACCCUGGUUCUUGAGAUAACGAAAAAUGGAGACGCGACAGGUUUGUCAGGCCGGCGGCGUCUUCCGCCUGUGCGGGUCGUGCGGUAUAUUGAUGGGAUCAAACGGACCCCUGGCCCCUCAACCGCGAUCACCAUCAUGGCCGUCAACCUCACACCGCAGUAUCACGAAGCCGAGGCCGAGUACAAAAAGGCUCAAACCGCCGACGAGCGCCUCGCCGCCCUUCAGAAGAUGUGGAAGGAAGUCCCCAAGCAUAAAGCCAGCGAGAAGCUCCAGGCCGAGCUCAAGAAGAAAAUCAGCGAGUGUAAGGACGAGCUGGAGCACGACAAGAAGAGCCCAAAAAAAGGCGGCGUCAGCUACAAGGUUCCCAAACAAGGAGCCGGCCAGUACGUCAUCGUCGGCGCGCCGAACGCGGGCAAGAGUCGGCUGCUGACGCGCCUGACCCGUGCGACGCCCGACGUCGCGGCCUAUCCGUUCACGACGCGCGAGCCGCACGUCGGCAUGAUGGACUGGGAGGACGCACGGGUACAACUCAUCGACUUGCCGCCGAUCACCGCCGACUUCAUGGAGAGCUACAUCUCCAGCAUGGUCCGCUCCGCCGACGCCGCCCUAUUGAUGGUCGAUCUCGGCGACGAUGACGGGCCGUUUGGUGCCGAGACCGUCGUCGAACGACUCGCCCAGACGAAGACGCUCCUGGUCGGCGAGGUGCCGCACGAUGAGGAAGACUUCAGCAUCGCGCACGUCAAGACGCUGCUGGUCGCCAACAAGAUCGACGCCGACGGCGCGGCGGACCGGCUCGACAUUCUCAAGGAGAUGAUCGGGU